RNAcentral lists this ribosomal RNA (213 nucleotides) under uncultured Aspergillus. Its description in RNAcentral is "partial 28S ribosomal RNA". The record is from RNAcentral. Lineage: Eukaryota; Fungi; Ascomycota; Eurotiomycetes; Eurotiales; Aspergillaceae.
GGGUUCAGCCGGCAUUCGUGCCGGUGUACUUCCCUGGGGGCGGGCCAGCGUCGGUUUGGGCGGCCGGUCAAAGGCUCCCGGAAUGUAGUGCCCUCCGGGGCACCUUAUAGCCGGGAGUGCAAUGCGGCCAGCCUGGACCGAGGAACGCGCUUCGGCACGGACGCUGGCAUAAUGGUCGUAAACGACCCGUCUUGAAACACGGACCAAGGAGUC